GUCGAACGGCAGCACGGACUUCGGUCUGGUGGCGAGUGGCGAACGGGUGAGUAAUACAUCGGAACGUACCUUUUAGUUGGGGAUAACGCAUCGAAAGAUGUGCUAAUACCGAAUAAUCUCUGAGGAGGAAAGGCGGGGAUCGGAAACGACCUGUCGCUGAAAGAGCGGCCGAUGGCCGAUUAGCUAGUUGGCGGGGUAGAAGCCCACCAGGGCUAUGAUCGGUAGCUGUUCUGAGAGGAAGAUCAGCCACUCUGGGACUGAGACACGGCCCAGACUCCUACGGGAGGCAGCAGUGGGGAAUUUUGGACAAUGGGGGAAACCCUGAUCCAGCAGCGCCGCGUGAAUGAAGAAGGCCUUAGGGUUGUAGAGUUCUUUUGUCGCAGAGCAGAAUGCUUGUACUAAUACUAUGAGUAGAUGAGAGUAUGCGAAGAAUAAGCACCGGCUAACUACGUGCCAGCAGCCGCGGUAAUACGUAGGGUGCAAGCGUUAAUCGGAAUUACUGGGCGUAAAGCGUGCGCAGGCGGAUAUAUAAGUUAGAAGUGAAAUCCCCGGGCUCAACCUGGGAACUGCUUUUAAGACUGUAUAUCUAGAGUUUGUCA
RNAcentral lists this ribosomal RNA (599 nucleotides) under uncultured bacterium. RNAcentral describes it as "bacterial SSU rRNA". It matches the Rfam family "Bacterial small subunit ribosomal RNA", at positions 61 to 653 of the family's 1533-position model. The record is from RNAcentral.